This is a long non-coding RNA of Tigriopus californicus, 672 nucleotides long. RefSeq lists it as uncharacterized. The transcript is spliced from 2 exons. The record is from RefSeq and is a predicted model, not a curated record. Lineage: Eukaryota; Metazoa; Arthropoda; Copepoda; Harpacticoida; Harpacticidae.
CUGAAAAUGAAAAGCUUAGGCCUUGAAACUUACUUGCACUUUCUGUCCUUGUUUCAUAAAACAGAGGUUUUCAAAGUUUUUAGCGUUGUAACCUUGCUUACAGGGAAUGUCUAUGUGAUCUUCAACCAAACAUUUUGCUGGCUCUAGCUGGCCCUUAAUCCAAAUGGAUGCCCCUCCCAAAGCACUCUCUGUGCUCAUCGACGUGUAACUCCAUUGGCAAUUGGCUCGACAUUCCUUUUCCUAGAUGGCACUCGAAUCGCUGUCUCAAAAGAUCCGCUCCAUGUUGAUGGCCUCAAAACGACAGCAUAUGUCUGAGGUAGAAAUGUUGCUGUGCUUGCCAUUGCUGCCACAGCUGUCAUGAUUGGGAUGAGUGAGAUAGAGCGUUAGUUGGUCUGCAUGCACACCAAAGCCAAACCUAGGCCACUUGUAUAAUCUGCAGUCCGAAAAAUUCCUUUGAAGCUUUUCUCUCAAUCACGAAGCUGCGCUUCUCCCCUCGUGGCAAAGUUUUUAUAGAAGUGUUUUGGGGGGUUUUUAAAUAGGAGAAAUUUUUGCCCUGUCACGCCUGAAAAUGUACAGGAUUAGAAGCUGGAUUAUGAAUCAAUCAUGCUUGGUGGAUGUUGUAUUAAAAAUGUGGCUUGGACCCCCAAGCACGCGUCUAAAAACCAAACACUA